RNAcentral lists this transfer RNA (74 nucleotides) under Schistocerca americana (American grasshopper). Its description in RNAcentral is "tRNA-Thr". It matches the Rfam family "tRNA". Rfam says of the family: Transfer RNA (tRNA) molecules are approximately 80 nucleotides in length. Their secondary structure includes four short double-helical elements and three loops (D, anti-codon, and T loops). Lineage: Eukaryota; Metazoa; Arthropoda; Insecta; Orthoptera; Acrididae. The record is from RNAcentral.
UCCUCGGUGGCUCAGAUGGACAGAGCGUCUGCCAUGUAAGCAGGGGAUCCCGGGUUCGAGUCCCGGUCGGGGCA